Molecule: ribosomal RNA, 253 nt
Filed under: uncultured prokaryote
Description: partial 16S ribosomal RNA
Rfam family: Bacterial small subunit ribosomal RNA
Source: RNAcentral
ACGUAGGGUGCGAGCGUUAAUCGGAAUUACUGGGCGUAAAGCGUGCGCAGGCGGUUGUGCAAGACAGAUGUGAAAUCCCCGGGCUUAACCUGGGAACUGCAUUUGUGACUGCACAGCUGGAGUGCGGCAGAGGGGGAUGGAAUUCCUGGUGUAGCAGUGAAAUGCGUAGAUAUCAGGAGGAACACCGAUGGCGAAGGCAGGUCUCUGGGCUGACACUGACGCUCAUGCACGAAAGCGUGGGGAGCAAACAGGA